GCGUGAGUGAUGAAGGCCUUAGGGUUGUAAAGCUCUUUCGCCCACGACGAUAAUGACGGUAGUGGGAGAAGAAGCCUCGGCUAACUCCGUGCCAGCAGCCGCGGUAAGACGGAGGAGGCUAGCGUUGUUCGGAAUUACUGGGCGUAAAGCGCACGUAGGCGGUUGCGUAAGUCGGGGGUGAAAGCCCGGGGCUUAACCUCGGAAAUGCCUUCGAGACUGCGCAGCUUGAGACUGGAAGAGGAGAGCGGAAUUCCCAGUGUAGAGGUGAAAUUCGU
This 275-nucleotide ribosomal RNA is filed under the name uncultured bacterium. RNAcentral describes it as "partial 16S ribosomal RNA". It matches the Rfam family "Bacterial small subunit ribosomal RNA", at positions 399 to 691 of the family's 1533-position model. The record is from RNAcentral.